GUGCCAGCCGCCGCGGUAAUACGGAGGGUGCAAGCGUUAAUCGGAAUUACUGGGCGUAAAGCGCACGCAGGCGGUCUGUCAAGUCGGAUGUGAAAUCCCCGGGCUCAACCUGGGAACUGCAUUCGAAACUGGCAGGCUAGAGUCUUGUAGAGGGGGGUAGAAUUCCAGGUGUAGCGGUGAAAUGCGUAGAGAUCUGGAGGAAUACCGGGUGGCGAAGGCGGCCCCCUGGACAAAGACUGACGCUCAGGUGCGAAAGCGUGGGGAGCAAACAGGAUUAGAUACCCUGGUAGUCCACGCCGUAAACGAUGUCGACUUGGAGGUUGUGCCCUUGAGGCGUGGCUUCCGGAGCUAACGCGUUAAGUCGACCGCCUGGGGAGUACGGCCGCAAGGUUAAACUCAAAUGAAUUGACGGGGCCCGCACAAGCGGUGGAGCAUGUGGUUUAAUUCGAUGCAACGCGAAGAACCUUACCUACUCUUGACAUCCAGAGAACUUAGCAGAGAUGCUUUGGUGUCC
RNAcentral lists this ribosomal RNA (514 nucleotides) under uncultured Pantoea sp. RNAcentral's name for it is "bacterial SSU rRNA". It matches the Rfam family "Bacterial small subunit ribosomal RNA", at positions 505 to 1019 of the family's 1533-position model. Lineage: Bacteria; Pseudomonadati; Pseudomonadota; Gammaproteobacteria; Enterobacterales; Erwiniaceae. The record is from RNAcentral.